RNAcentral lists this ribosomal RNA (775 nucleotides) under uncultured Neocallimastigales. Its description in RNAcentral is "partial large subunit ribosomal RNA". It matches the Rfam family "Eukaryotic large subunit ribosomal RNA", at positions 24 to 628 of the family's 3401-position model. The record is from RNAcentral. Lineage: Eukaryota; Fungi; Neocallimastigomycota; Neocallimastigomycetes; Neocallimastigales.
UAUGUGAUCGUCUCUCGCAUAUCAAUAAGCGGAGGAAAAGAAACUAACAAGGAUUCCCCUAGUAACGGCGAGUGAAGCGGGAAGAGCUCAAAUUUGAAAUCUUAAAGGGUUUCCCUUUACGGAUUGUAGUUUAAAGAAGUGUUUUCUGUUGAGGUUUUGGUAAAAGUUCUUUGGAAUAGGACAUCAUAGAGGGUGAGAAUCCCGUAUUUGACCUUUACUUUCAACUUUGUGAUACACUUUCAAAGAGUCGGAUUGUUUGGGAAUGCAGUCCAAAAUGGGUGGUAAAUUUCAUCUAAAGCUAAAUAUUGGCGAGAGACCGAUAGCGAACAAGUACCGUGAGGGAAAGAUGAAAAGAACUUUGAAAAGAGAGUUAAACAGUACGUGAAAUUGUCAAAAGGGAAGCGUUUGACACCAGUGUUGUUCUUCUGAAAAUCAAUUAAAGAACUGUUUAUGCUAAGUUGUUUAGACUUUAUCAGCUAACUGUUUAGUUUUGAGCUUUUCUUUAAUGCACUUUUCAGUUAACAAGUCAACAUCAAUUUCUUUUGCUGUAAAAAAGCUUGAGGAAGGUGGCUUGAGAUUCGUCUUAAGUGUUUAUAGCCUCUUGCCUAUGCAGUCGGAGAGAUUGAGGUCUGCAGCGUAGAUCCUUCGGGGCUAAAUGCAUUUGUGCUAAGUUAUAAGCAUUUUAUAGACAACUUGUUGACUAUGAUUUGUCUUGUAGCUUACUCGCUUAUGUUAUUUUACCUACGCUUAGGAUGUUGAGUCGUAGAGCACGCAG